This 2902-nucleotide ribosomal RNA is filed under the name Escherichia albertii. RNAcentral describes it as "23S ribosomal RNA". It matches the Rfam family "Bacterial large subunit ribosomal RNA". Lineage: Bacteria; Pseudomonadati; Pseudomonadota; Gammaproteobacteria; Enterobacterales; Enterobacteriaceae. The record is from RNAcentral.
GGUUAAGCGACUAAGCGUACACGGUGGAUGCCCUGGCAGUCAGAGGCGAUGAAGGACGUGCUAAUCUGCGAAAAGCGUCGGUAAGGUGAUAUGAACCGUUAUAACCGGCGAUGUCCGAAUGGGGAAACCCAGUGUGUUUCGACACACUAUCAUUAACUGAAUCCAUAGGUUAAUGAGGCGAACCGGGGGAACUGAAACAUCUAAGUACCCCGAGGAAAAGAAAUCAACCGAGAUUCCCCCAGUAGCGGCGAGCGAACGGGGAGGAGCCCAGAGCCUGAAUCAGUGUGUGUGUUAGUGGAAGCGUCUGGAAAGGCGUGCGAUACAGGGUGACAGCCCCGUACACAAAAAUGCACAUGCUGUGAGCUCGAUGAGUAGGGCGGGACACGUGUAUCCUGUCUGAAUAUGGGGGGACCAUCCUCCAAGGCUAAAUACUCCUGACUGACCGAUAGUGAACCAGUACCGUGAGGGAAAGGCGAAAAGAACCCCGGCGAGGGGAGUGAAAAAGAACCUGAAACCGUGUACGUACAAGCAGUGGGAGCCUCUUUAUGGGGUGACUGCGUACCUUUUGUAUAAUGGGUCAGCGACUUAUAUUCUGUAGCAAGGUUAACCGAAUAGGGGAGCCGGAGGGAAACCGAGUCUUAACUGGGCGUUAAGUUGCAGGGUAUAGACCCGAAACCCGGUGAUCUAGCCAUGGGCAGGUUGAAGGUUGGGUAACACUAACUGGAGGACCGAACCGACUAAUGUUGAAAAAUUAGCGGAUGACUUGUGGCUGGGGGUGAAAGGCCAAUCAAACCGGGAGAUAGCUGGUUCUCCCCGAAAGCUAUUUAGGUAGCGCCUCGUGAAUUCAUCUCCGGGGGUAGAGCACUGUUUCGGCAAGGGGGUCAUCCCGACUUACCAACCCGAUGCAAACUGCGAAUACCGGAGAAUGUUAUCACGGGAGACACACGGCGGGUGCUAACGUCCGUCGUGAAGAGGGAAACAACCCAGACCGCCAGCUAAGGUCCCAAAGUCAUGGUUAAGUGGGAAACGAUGUGGGAAGGCCCAGACAGCCAGGAUGUUGGCUUAGAAGCAGCCAUCAUUUAAAGAAAGCGUAAUAGCUCACUGGUCGAGUCGGCCUGCGCGGAAGAUGUAACGGGGCUAAACCAUGCACCGAAGCUGCGGCAGCGACGCUGAUGCGUUGUUGGGUAGGGGAGCGUUCUGUAAGCCUGUGAAGGUGUGCUGUGAGGCAUGCUGGAGGUAUCAGAAGUGCGAAUGCUGACAUAAGUAACGAUAAAGCGGGUGAAAAGCCCGCUCGCCGGAAGACCAAGGGUUCCUGUCCAACGUUAAUCGGGGCAGGGUGAGUCGACCCCUAAGGCGAGGCCGAAAGGCGUAGUCGAUGGGAAACAGGUUAAUAUUCCUGUACUUGGUGUUACUGCGAAGGGGGGACGGAGAAGGCUAUGUUGGCCGGGCGACGGUUGUCCCGGUUUAAGCGUGUAGGCUGGUUUUCCAGGCAAAUCCGGAGAAUCAAGGCUGAGGCGUGAUGACGAGGCACUACGGUGCUGAAGCAACAAAUGCCCUGCUUCCAGGAAAAGCCUCUAAGCAUCAGGUAACAUCAAAUCGUACCCCAAACCGACACAGGUGGUCAGGUAGAGAAUACCAAGGCGCUUGAGAGAACUCGGGUGAAGGAACUAGGCAAAAUGGUGCCGUAACUUCGGGAGAAGGCACGCUGAUAUGUAGGUGAAGCGACUUGCUCGUGGAGCUGAAAUCAGUCGAAGAUACCAGCUGGCUGCAACUGUUUAUUAAAAACACAGCACUGUGCAAACACGAAAGUGGACGUAUACGGUGUGACGCCUGCCCGGUGCCGGAAGGUUAAUUGAUGGGGUCAGCGCAAGCGAAGCUCUUGAUCGAAGCCCCGGUAAACGGCGGCCGUAACUAUAACGGUCCUAAGGUAGCGAAAUUCCUUGUCGGGUAAGUUCCGACCUGCACGAAUGGCGUAAUGAUGGCCAGGCUGUCUCCACCCGAGACUCAGUGAAAUUGAACUCGCUGUGAAGAUGCAGUGUACCCGCGGCAAGACGGAAAGACCCCGUGAACCUUUACUAUAGCUUGACACUGAACACUGGUCCUUGAUGUGUAGGAUAGGUGGGAGGCUUUGAAGUGUGGACGCCAGUCUGCAUGGAGCCGUCCUUGAAAUACCACCCUUUAAUGGCUGGUGUUCUAACGUAGGCCCCUUAUCGGGGUUGCGGACAGUGUCUGGUGGGUAGUUUGACUGGGGCGGUCUCCUCCUAAAGAGUAACGGAGGAGCACGAAGGUUGGCUAAUCCUGGUCGGACAUCAGGAGGUUAGUGCAAUGGCAUAAGCCAGCUUGACUGCGAGCGUGACGGCGCGAGCAGGUGCGAAAGCAGGUCAUAGUGAUCCGGUGGUUCUGAAUGGAAGGGCCAUCGCUCAACGGAUAAAAGGUACUCCGGGGAUAACAGGCUGAUACCGCCCAAGAGUUCAUAUCGACGGCGGUGUUUGGCACCUCGAUGUCGGCUCAUCACAUCCUGGGGCUGAAGUAGGUCCCAAGGGUAUGGCUGUUCGCCAUUUAAAGUGGUACGCGAGCUGGGUUUAGAACGUCGUGAGACAGUUCGGUCCCUAUCUGCCGUGGGCGCUGGAGAACUGAGGGGGGCUGCUCCUAGUACGAGAGGACCGGAGUGGACGCAUCACUGGUGUUCGGGUUGUCAUGCCAAUGGCACUGCCCGGUAGCUAAAUGCGGAAGAGAUAAGUGCUGAAAGCAUCUAAGCACGAAACUUGCCCCGAGAUGAGUUCUCCCUGACCCUUUAAGGGUCCUGAAGGAACGUUGAAGACGACGACGUUGAUAGGCCGGGUGUGUAAGCGCAGCGAUGCGUUGAGCUAACCGGUACUAAUGAACCGUGAGGCUUAACCUU